UGGGGAAUUUUGGACAAUGGGGGCAACCCUGAUCCAGCCAUGCCGCGUGAGUGAAGAAGGCCUUCGGGUUGUAAAGCUCUUUCGGCUGGGAAGAAAUCGCAUCUCCUAAUACGGGGUGUGGAUGACGGUACCAGCAUAAGAAGCACCGGCUAACUACGUGCCAGCAGCCGCGGUAAUACGUAGGGUGCGAGCGUUAAUCGGAAUUACUGGGCGUAAAGCGUGCGCAGGCGGUUUCGUAAGACGGACGUGAAAUCCCCGGGCUCAACCUGGGAACUGCGUUUGUGACUGCGAGGCUAGGGUUUGGCAGAGGGGGGUGGAAUUCCACGUGUAGCAGUGAGAAGCGUAGAGAUGUGGAGGAACACCGAUGGCGAAGACAGCCCCCUGGGCCAAUACUGACGCUCAUGCACGAAAGCGUGGGGAGCAAACA
RNAcentral lists this ribosomal RNA (427 nucleotides) under uncultured bacterium. Its description in RNAcentral is "bacterial SSU rRNA". It matches the Rfam family "Bacterial small subunit ribosomal RNA", at positions 355 to 774 of the family's 1533-position model. The record is from RNAcentral.